UACAGAGGUCCCGAGCGUUGUUCGGAUUCAUUGGGCGUAAAGGGUGCGUAGGCGGCGGGGCAAGUCUGAUGUGAAAUCCCGGGGCUCAACCCCGGAACUGCAUUGGAUACUGCCUUGCUCGAGUACUGGAGAGGGAACUGGAAUUUACGGUGUAGCAGUGAAAUGCGUAGAUAUCGUAAGGAAGACCAGCGGCGAAGGCGAGUUCCUGGACAGUUACUGACGCUGAGGCACGAAGGCCAGGGGAGCAAACGGG
RNAcentral lists this ribosomal RNA (253 nucleotides) under uncultured bacterium. Its description in RNAcentral is "partial 16S ribosomal RNA". It matches the Rfam family "Bacterial small subunit ribosomal RNA", at positions 524 to 776 of the family's 1533-position model. The record is from RNAcentral.